AACUAUUUCUAUCAUCCAUAUUACACAUCUAUCAUCACCUCUUCGCUGAACUAGUGCACCUAUGCAACUGACAAUUGUAUUGGGUGUGUUGGGGACACAAGAGACUCUUUGUAUUUGAUUGCAUGAUUGUUUCAGAAAGAACCAUAUUCGUCCAACACCUCCCACGGACUGAUAAAGCUCAGGUCAUCCCCCUGUGGGAAUUUUGUUGAUGUCCUACAAAACUCUGCGCUUGGAGGCCCAACCAAGUCUACAAGAAUAAAGUUGCGUACUAGACAUCAAGCUAUUUCUGACGUCGUUGCCGAGGAGGUCACUGCUUAAAGGUAUCUCUCUCUCUCUCUCUCUCGCGUGUUCUUGAUUUGACACAAUAUUGAUGUAUCAUGAGCUUUAUCAAUAUAGUUGGAUCUUAUGAUGUUCACCUCCCUCUCUUUUUUUGUGGUGAAUUGAGUCUUUCUCUUUGAGGUUUCUUUAUGUUGGAUUGAACAAUUUGGAGUUGAGAUCUGUUGCAUGUCUUAACUUGUGGAUACCUGUGGUGACAUUGGGGUGUUUUAGCUGACAUGAAGGUUAAUAAAUGAUACGUAUAUAUGGUGUUGUCAUAGUACAAUCUCUAGAACUAUUAGUGACACUUUGGGGGUGGUUCAAUAGAUUGAUUGGAAACACAACUUUGAGGUGUUUACUACCUAUGCAAUUUCAUCCUCCUUUCUCCGAUAGGAACAGGGACUUUGGAGUGAUUCUUUGCCGCACUUUGAGGUAUUAUCAUGUGAUUCAAUUCUGUUAAUGACGUUGACAGAUUGCACUAGCGAAAGUAUGAACCCCGGUGCUUAUAUCUAAACAUUGAGAUACCGUUUUGCUCGCUUUUUGUUAGUUGGUACCUUGUUGUUUUUAUUUUUUUAGAUUAUAUAAACUAUUUCUAUCAUCCAUAUUACACAUCUAGCAUCACCUCUUCGCUGAACUAGUGCACCUAUACAACUCACAAUUGUAUUGGGUGUGUUGGGGACACAAGAGACUCUUUGUAUUUGAUUGCAUGAUUGUUUUAGAAAGAACCAUAUUCAUCCAACACCUCCCACGGAUUGAUAAACCUUAGGUCAUCCACCUGUGGGAAAUUUAUUGAUGUCCUACAAAACUUUGCACUUGGAGGCCCAACCAAGUCUACAAGAACAAAGUUGCAUACUAGACAUCAAGCUAUUUCUGACGUCGUUGCCGGGGAGGUCAGUGCUUGAAGGUAUCUCUCUCUCUCUCUCUCUCUCUCUCUCUCUCUCUCGUGUUCUUGAUUUGACACAAUAUUGAUGUAUCAUGAGCUUUAUCAAUAUAGUUGGAUCUUAAGAUGUUCACCUCCCUCUCUUUUUUUCGUGGUGAAUUGAGUCUUUCUCUUUGAGGUUUCUUUAUGUUGGAUUGAACAAUUUGGAGUUCAGAUCUGUUGCAUGUCUUAACUUGUGGAUACCUGUGGUGACAUUGGGGUGUUUUAGCUGACAUAAAGGUUAAUAAAUGAUACGUAUAUAUGGUGUUGUCAUAGUACAAUCUCUAGAACUAUUAGUGACACUUUGGGGGUGGUUCAAUAGAUUGAUUGGAAACACAACUUUGAGGUGGUUUACUACCUAUGAAAUUUCAUCCUCCUUUCUCCGAUAGGAACAGGGACUUUGGAGUGAUUCUUCACCACACUUUGAGGUAUUAUCAUGUGAUUCAAUUAUGUUAAUAAUGUUGAGAGAUUGCACUAGCGAAAGUAUGAACCCCGGGGCUUAUUUCUAAGCAUUGAGAUACCGUUUUGCUCGCUUUUUGUUAGUUGGUACCUUGCUGUUUUUAUUUUUUUUAGAUUAUAUAAACUAUUUCUAUCAUCCAUAUUACACAUCUAUCAUCACCUCUUCGCUGAACUAGUGCACCUAUACAACUGACAAUUGUAUUGGGUGUGUUGGGGACACAAGAGACUCUUUGUAUUUGAUUGCAUGAUUGUUUUAGAAAGAACCAUAUUCGUCCAACACCUCCCACAGAUUGAUAAACCUUAGGUCAUCAACCUAUGAGAAAUUUGUUGAUGUCCUACAAAACUCUGCGCUUGGAGGCCCAACCAAGUCUACAAGAAUAAAGUUGCGUACUAUACAUCAAGCUAUUUCUAACAUCGUUGCCGGGGAGGUCAGUGCUUGAAGGUACCUUCUUUAGAUCUUGAAAUUGAAUCUUUUAGUUUCUUGUUUAUACACUAGUUUGGUUUAUAAAAAGAAAACUACAAAAAAUGGAAGUGAGGUUGCAUCAAAUUAUUUAUCUUUAUGAAGUCUUUCUUGAAAAUAUGGAUUCCAAUAAUUGCUAUGAAGUGG
Molecule: long non-coding RNA, 2300 nt
Filed under: Triticum aestivum (bread wheat)
Lineage: Eukaryota; Viridiplantae; Streptophyta; Magnoliopsida; Poales; Poaceae
Description: long non-coding RNA (TAES_LNC000397)
Source: RNAcentral